This 589-nucleotide ribosomal RNA is filed under the name Dryophytes suweonensis (Suweon treefrog). Its description in RNAcentral is "partial 12S ribosomal RNA". It matches the Rfam family "Bacterial small subunit ribosomal RNA", at positions 478 to 1361 of the family's 1533-position model. Lineage: Eukaryota; Metazoa; Chordata; Amphibia; Anura; Hylidae. The record is from RNAcentral.
UUAAAGUAAAGAGAGCCGGCAAAUAUGGUGCCAGCCGCCGCGGUUACACCACGAGGCUCAAAUUGAUUACCUUCGGCGUAAAGCGUGAUUAAAGUUAUCCCCCAACUAUAGUUGUAUUUUUACUGAGCUGUGACACGCUUGUUCUUAAGAAACUCAAAAACGAAAGUUACUAUAUGCAAACCAACUUGAACCCACGACAGCUGAGACACAAACUGGGAUUAGAUACCCCACUAUGCUCAGCCGUAAACUUUAAAUUACACCCCUAUCGCCAGGGAACUACGAGCAAAGCUUAAAACCCAAAGGACUUGACGGUACCCCACAUCCACCUAGAGGAGCCUGUCCUAUAAUCGAUAACCCCCGCUAAACCUCACCAUUUUUAGCCAAUCAGCCUGUAUACCUCCGUCGUCAGCUUACCUCGUGAGCGAUACCUAGUGAGCUUAAUGUCCUUACAUCAAUACGUCAGGUCAAGGUGCAGUAUAUGAAAUGGGAAGAGAUGGGCUACACUCUCUAAUUUAGAACACACGAAAGACUACCUAUGAAACCUAGUCAGAAGGCGGAUUUAGAAGUAAAGAGAGAUCAUAGAGCUCUU